UGAGGCCCGGAGGCUGGGCCCUGCGGCCACUCCAAGCUUUGUCACGGCAGAGACCAGCCUCCAUAGUGGCCAUGUUUGCGACCGCACCAUCCCUGACCGGGGAUCGGUGCCGAUGGACCGCUGACCGCCAACCCUUUCAUGCUGUGGGCUCGUCUAACGCCCCCCUGCCAUCAUCGCUUUCUCCAAGGGCCUCCCGUCUGCCAGGUGACAAGUCUCCUCCCUGCGGUCUCCACCCCUGGGUCCCGACAGAGCUGGCCAGAUCCAGGACAGUCUGCCACGUGUCCCCACACGCACACGCGCACACAUCCCGUGUCCCACAGCCGGCGCAUGCACGUGCACACGUGUGGUUGCGUGUGUUGGAACCACUGAACCGAUUAUCCGAGUGACGGGGGCAUCGCUGGGUGUGGGCCCCGAAACUGCGUGGGCAAUUAAAACUUCUGAAAGCGGC
This is a long non-coding RNA of Tupaia belangeri chinensis (Chinese tree shrew), 448 nucleotides long. RefSeq lists it as uncharacterized. The transcript is spliced from 2 exons. The record is from RefSeq and is a predicted model, not a curated record. NCBI's taxonomy places the organism in Eukaryota, Metazoa, Chordata, Mammalia, Scandentia, Tupaiidae.